This 325-nucleotide ribosomal RNA is filed under the name uncultured Acidobacteriota bacterium. RNAcentral describes it as "bacterial SSU rRNA". It matches the Rfam family "Bacterial small subunit ribosomal RNA", at positions 15 to 354 of the family's 1533-position model. The record is from RNAcentral. Lineage: Bacteria; Pseudomonadati; Acidobacteriota.
GAUCCUGGCUCAGAAUCAACGCUGGCGGCGUGCCUAACACAUGCAAGUCGAACGAGAAAGGGGAGCAAUCCMUGAGUAAAGUGGCGACCGGGUGAGUAACACGUGACUAACCUACCCUCGAGUGUGGAAUAACAUCGGGAAACCGAUGCUAAUACCGCAUAACAUCGCAAGAUCAAAGGAGCAAUCCGCUUGAGGAGGGGGUCGCGGCUGAUUAGCUAGUUGGCGGGGUAACGGCCCACCAAGGCGAAGAUCGGUAUCCGGCCUGAGAGGGCGCACGGACACACUGGAACUGAAACACGGUCCAGACUCCUACGGGAGGCAGCAG